UCGAGAAUUUUUCACAAUGCGCGCAAGCCUGAUGGAGCGACGCCGCGUGGGGGAUGAAUGGCUUCGGCCCGUAAACCCCUGUCAUUCGCGAUCAAAUGUUGUUCUUUCAAAGAUGACAGCCUGAUAGUCGCGGAAGAGGAAGGGACGGCUAACUCUGUGCCAGCAGCCGCGGUAAUACAGAGGUCCCGAGCGUUGUUCGGAUUCACUGGGCGUAAAGGGUGCGUAGGUGGUGAGGUAAGUCGGAUGUGAAAUCUCGGAGCUUAACUCCGAAAUGGCAUUGGAAACUGCCUUGCGAGAGGUUCGGAGGGGGGACUGGAAUACUUGGUGUAGCAGUGAAAUGCGUAGAUAUCAAGUGGAACACCAGUGGCGAAGGCGAGUCCCUGGACGAAACCUGACACUGAGGCACGAAAGCUAGGGGAGCAAACA
Molecule: ribosomal RNA, 426 nt
Filed under: uncultured prokaryote
Description: bacterial SSU rRNA
Rfam family: Bacterial small subunit ribosomal RNA
Source: RNAcentral